GUGGAUCAAAGUUUGGUGAUGAUGUACUCUCAUGGUUGAUGCAAUAUGAUGACUUUCGUUUAAUUAUGUCUCAAUGCCUCAACAAUUUUAAUGAGAUGGUAUUUGAGAUUCCAAAAGUUCUUAAUCAAUGCCCAAAUCUGAAACAAUGAUUAAAAAAAAUUGUCCCUAAAACAUUUACCAAUUUAUCUUAUGUACUACUAUUGUUCAUGCUUCUACCUUUAUCUUGUUUAUAACUAGAUCUAAUGAGUUUGAUCGCACUAUUUGCAUGUAUCACAUAUAGAU
Molecule: long non-coding RNA, 282 nt
Filed under: Spirodela polyrhiza (greater duckweed)
Lineage: Eukaryota; Viridiplantae; Streptophyta; Magnoliopsida; Alismatales; Araceae
Description: long non-coding RNA (SPOL_LNC002317)
Source: RNAcentral